UACGUAGGGAGCAAGCGUUGUCCGGAAUCAUUGGGCGUAAAGAGCGUGUAGGCGGCCAGGUAGGUGGGUUGUGAAAACUGGAGGCUCAACCUUCAGACGUCGACCCAAACCCCCUGGCUAGAGUCCGGAAGAGGAGAGUGGAAUUCCUGGUGUAGCGGUGAAAUGCGCAGAUAUCAGGAAGAACACCCGUGGCGAAGGCGGCUCUCUGGGACGGUACUGACGCUGAGACGCGAAAGCGUGGGGAGCGAACAGG
RNAcentral lists this ribosomal RNA (253 nucleotides) under uncultured bacterium. RNAcentral describes it as "partial 16S ribosomal RNA". It matches the Rfam family "Bacterial small subunit ribosomal RNA", at positions 524 to 776 of the family's 1533-position model. The record is from RNAcentral.